Molecule: long non-coding RNA, 1556 nt
Organism: Carassius gibelio (silver crucian carp)
Lineage: Eukaryota; Metazoa; Chordata; Actinopteri; Cypriniformes; Cyprinidae
Exons: 8
Source: RefSeq, a predicted model, not a curated record
GUUCUCAUCAGUCUGCGUAUAAAUAACACGACUUUACACUUUCUAUUUGCGUGUAAUGCAUACGCCAAAUGCCAUUUUUGCGUGCAUAUGAUACGCCAAUCCUUCCCAUUAAUUUCGGUGGAGAGCAGAUGCGUCCAAAUAACACGCAUCAUCUUCAGCGGCAGUGACGUCACUAGCGAGGCUCGUUCAGUUCACCUGAUGCGCGUACACCUUCAAACAGGUAAGCAAGGUUACGUCGGAUUACAUACUCCACAACAACCUGUAAUCCAGCAGAUCUUUAAAGAAGCCAUCUCUUGUAAAAUCUCUCUCUCUCUCUCUCUCUCUCUCUCUCGCUCUGCUAGAAUUAACAGGGAACUUCAACUCCACGCUCCCAAUGCUGAUAUUGAAGAAGCUGUCAAGGGGGCUGAACAAGUCCUUCAAAGGAUCAACCCUUCACAGGAAGGCCUGUCAUGAGAUUUGAAUUUGACCAUCUUGUGCAUUUAUGAAGAAGACCAAAAGCUGCAAAGGCAAACACUUCCAAUGAAACUGAGAGUUUGCAUGAUGGCAUUUUCUCAGACGCUGAAUCUGAUGUGUACAGAUGAACUCAGGAGCCUACUAGAGUUGCCAAGGAACUUGUGCUUGAACUGAAGACCAGAAACGCAAAGAAAAUCAGUCAAACCAGUCCUAAAGAAAUGAGGAAUGAACAUGGACUUCUUGUGCCCCAAAAGAAAAGACAGAAAGCUCCUAAAAUGAGCAAAUAAGCUGUGCAUCAUCUCUGUGAUUUGGAAAGGAAAUGACUGAAUAUGAUGAAGCCAAUUGAUGAAGAUAUCAAUUGAAUGGCCACCGAGUGCAUCACUGCUACCUGAACCCAUCAGUUAUCUUCUGUGAAGACUGCAUUCACAAACCGCUCUACUGCGACAGCUCAGAUGUUACGGCCUGCAAAGUAAACAUCACAGCUAAACAACGAGAGCUAGUUGUGGUGGGAUUCUUUUGGCCAAUAUCCCCAACAAGAAUCAAUGACAUCUAGACCAGGUGGAGUGUGAGGAGGACCGUCAGAGACUCCAGCCAGCCGAGCCAUGGAUUGCUCUCACUGUUACCAUCAGGCAUGCGUUAUCACAGAACCUACACCAGCAGACAGUGAGACAAGUUCCUUUCACAGGCAAUCAGACUGAACUGAACUCAUACCAGUAAAACCAUACACACCCCACCAACCUCAUAUGCCCUGCACUCUUAUCAGUUAUGCUGACUGGACUCAAUAUUAUUAUGCACCCUGACAUUCUGUUUGCACUAAUUCAUACCGUGCUUUACUGCAGAGAUGUAUGUGUACUGUGAUUAUUAUUGUUUUCAAUUCAUGCUCUUUGUAUAGCAUAAUUUUUAACAUAUAUUGUUAUCUACCUGAAUUGAGUCCCUUAUAUAUGUGUGUUGCAUAUAUAUAUAUUCAGAAUUUGUAUUUCAUAUAUAUUCAUGAAUUAAUUCAUUUGUCAUCCAUACUGUCACGCUGCAGUCUGCACCCAAGACUUUCAUCACCUGUAUACUUGUGUUCAUUGUAUUGUGACAAUAAAGAUAUUUGAUUUAAA